RNAcentral lists this ribosomal RNA (253 nucleotides) under uncultured bacterium. RNAcentral describes it as "partial 16S ribosomal RNA". It matches the Rfam family "Bacterial small subunit ribosomal RNA", at positions 524 to 776 of the family's 1533-position model. The record is from RNAcentral.
UACGUAGGGGGCUAGCGUUGUCCGGAAUCAUUGGGCGUAAAGAGCGUGUAGGCGGUCCGGUAAGUCCGCUGUGAAAGUCGGGGGCUCAACCCUCGAAUGCCGGUGGAUACUGUCGGGCUAGAGUGCGGAAGAGGCGAGUGGAAUUCCUGGUGUAGCGGUGAAAUGCGCAGAUAUCAGGAGGAACACCGAUGGCGAAGGCAGGUCUCUGGGCCAUAACUGACGCUGAGAAGCGAAAGCAUGGGGAGCGAACAGG